GACGAACGCUGGCGGCGUGCUUAACACAUGCAAGUCGAACGGAAAGGCCCUGCUUGCAGGGUACUCGAGUGGCGAACGGGUGAGUAACACGUGGGUGAUCUGCCCUGCACUUCGGGAUAAGCCUGGGAAACUGGGUCUAAUACCGGAUAGGAGCCAUUUUUAGUGUGAUGGUUGGAGAGUUUUUUCGGUGUAGGAUGAGCUCGCGGCCUAUCAGCUUGUUGGUGGGGUAAUGGCCUACCAAGGCGGCGACGGGUAGCCGGCCUGAGAGGGUGGACGGCCACAUUGGGACUGAGAUACGGCCCAGACUCCUACGGGAGGCAGCAGUGGGGAAUAUUGCACAAUGGGCGCAGGCCGGAUGCAGCGACGCCGCGUGGGGGAUGACGGCCUUCGGGUUGUAAACUCCUUUCGCUAGGGACGAAGCUUUUUGUGACGGUACCUAGAUAAGAAGCACCGGCUAACUACGUG
RNAcentral lists this ribosomal RNA (465 nucleotides) under uncultured bacterium. Its description in RNAcentral is "partial 16S ribosomal RNA". It matches the Rfam family "Bacterial small subunit ribosomal RNA", at positions 28 to 507 of the family's 1533-position model. The record is from RNAcentral.